RNAcentral lists this ribosomal RNA (388 nucleotides) under uncultured bacterium. RNAcentral's name for it is "bacterial SSU rRNA". It matches the Rfam family "Bacterial small subunit ribosomal RNA", at positions 28 to 416 of the family's 1533-position model. The record is from RNAcentral.
GACGAACGCUGGCGGCGUGCUUAACACAUGCAAGUCGAGCGGUAAGGCCCUUUCGGGGGUACACGAGCGGCGAACGGGUGAGUAACACGUGGGUGACCUGCCCUCAGCUCUGGGAUAAGCCUGGGAAACCGGGUCUAAUACUGGAUAUGACUCCAUGACGCAUGUUGUGGGGUGGAAAGCCUUGUGCGGCUGAGGAUGGGCCCGCGGCCUAUCAGCUUGUUGGUGGGGUGAGGCCUACCAAGGCGACGACGGGUAGCCGGCCUGAGAGGGCGACCGGCCACACUGGGACUGAGACACGGCCCAGACUCCUACGGGGAGGCAGCAGGUGGGGAAUCUUGCGCAAUGGGCGAAAGCCUGACGCAGCGACGCCGCGUGAGGGAUGACGGCC